GUCGUCACAAUAACAGACAGAUGUGUAAAACUCUCAAGACAUAUUUUAAAGAUUCUAUGCCGCGAACUUUACAUUUUUCACCUACUUUUGACAAUCCAGUGUUAGUUGAUCCUGAUAAGCGCUCGUCAUCCAGCAAACAGUAAUUAUAAACCAGUAAUUAUAAAUUUUUCAUGAAAUUGUUCAUCUCUCUGCCAAUUGCUUUCAAUCUUGUACAGAAAUGUACAUAGGAACUCAUGAAAGAAGAGCUUUAGAUUUUAAAUACCUAUGUGCAUAUGAUAGGAGCGUUGACUUUGUCCAGUCAUCAAGUUUAGCGGAGAGCAUCAACUCCUAAUUGACAUGAGGAAAAAAUCAUUGAAAAGUGUUCAGUGUGUACCCCUCUUUGCAACAGAGGAAGCAUUAGGAAAGAGGAGAAGAGAGAAAGUGAAAAGGCACUCAACAGAUGUUGGUGAGACUUUAUUUCUGGAAAUGCAUUAAAGGUCACUCACAUUCUAGUUAGCCACAAAUGUAACGUGAUUUUAGAUUUUAGUCUUUAAAUGAGAUCCAUAACUCCAGCUACUUGUAGGCCUACAGUCCUGUAUAUUUCACACUAAAUUGUGAUGCAGCCUGAAUCAUAAUCACAUCAUGUUCAUUUGAUGGUCAGAGGAGAACUGAUCCCUAAACUAAACAUACUUUCUCCCAAGGGUUUUUUUCUCCAUUCUGUCACCUGACAGAGUUUGGGUUCCUUGCCGCUGUCGUCUUUUGGCGUGCUUAUUUGGGGACUAAUAAUAUUCAGCAGUAUUAUUGAUCUGACUUCACUGACACUAUUGGAUGAGUACUGAACUGAGCUAGAUGAUGACACCACUGCUAUCUAGAUGCACUGAAAUUAUUUUAUAUUUGAUGAUUUUUAUACAGUUAAUCGAAAUUAACUGAGUCAACACUGAUUUCAACUGAACAAUGACACGUUUUACUGUUUAGAGCUGCUUCACAGCAGAUGUGAAUUCUGUUUGCAUCAUUAUUUUUCUUUGUAUCACUGUAAAGCAGCACUGAAACAAUCUGUAUUGUAUAAAGCGCUAUAUAAAUAAUGGUGACUUGACUUAAAUUGGUUCAAAUCUUCAAAAAAAAGUGCAUGAAACAGGCAACCUGAAUAAACACAAAAUACAGUUUAUUAAUGAAACUUGCCUUUGUUUUAUGUUAAUUUUCUUAGGACUAUCUGACAAUAUUUAAUGCUGAUAUACUCAAAAAUAGAAUAAAUCAGGAUUUUUUUUCACAGCACUGUACACCAGCAUUUAUGUGCUGUAGUGUGACAUUAAUGUGUGGAAAUGGACAUUUUAUCAGUGUGUGAUUGCUAUUUUCAGGAAAUGCACUGGUAACAACUAAAAAAAGACGACCAAAAAUAUAAUUCAACAGAGGAUGAUGGCUGUGGUGAAACAAGCACUCAAAUAAUGGAACUAAGACCAGUGGGAGUGCUGGAGAAAUCAAGUGUAUAAGUCCUCUGUCGUCUCAUCCAUGGAAGAGAUCUUCAGACAUGAAGAGAUCGAGGAGUUAAAUGAAAUCAAAGAGCUAAAAGAAGAUCUACAAUAUUAGUGCCAUUUCAGUAUGAAAACAGAGAGAGAGCUGAGGCAGUGGAAAGAAAUGCAUGUUAUUGUUCAAGGGGUAGUUGAAUGGACUAUCAAUGCAGGAACAGAAAGCUCUGAGAUUUCAUUAUAAAGAUCUUCAAUUGUGUUCUGAAGAUGAAUGAAGGACUUGCGGGUUUGGAACGAUAUGAGGACUACAUCCAAAAUAGUGUUUCCACAUCUGAGAUGAAGGCAGUCAUAAGAACCAAGCAAAACGAUGAGGAU
This is a long non-coding RNA of Onychostoma macrolepis, 1817 nucleotides long. RefSeq lists it as uncharacterized. The record is from RefSeq and is a predicted model, not a curated record. The transcript has 5 exons. NCBI's taxonomy places the organism in Eukaryota, Metazoa, Chordata, Actinopteri, Cypriniformes, Cyprinidae.